RNAcentral lists this ribosomal RNA (373 nucleotides) under uncultured organism. RNAcentral's name for it is "partial 16S ribosomal RNA". It matches the Rfam family "Bacterial small subunit ribosomal RNA", at positions 527 to 896 of the family's 1533-position model. The record is from RNAcentral.
GGGGGGUGCAAGCGUUAUUCGGAAUUAUUGGGCGUAAAGGGCGCGCAGGCGGUCUCUUAAGUCAGAUGUGAAAGCCCGGGGCUCAACCCCGGAAGUGCAUUUGAAACUAAGGGACUUGAGUAUGGGAGAGGGAAGUGGAAUUCCUGGUGUAGAGGUGAAAUUCGUAGAUAUCAGGAGGAACACCGGUGGCGAAGGCGACUUCCUGGACCAAUACUGACGCUGAGGCGCGAAGGCGUGGGGAGCAAACAGGAUUAGAUACCCUGGGUAGUCCACGCAGUAAACGGUGAACACUAGGUGUAGCGGGUAUUUACCCCCUGCUGUGCCGCAGCUAACGCAUUAAGUGUUCCGCCUGGGGAGUACGGUCGCAAGAUUA